Molecule: ribosomal RNA, 495 nt
Filed under: uncultured bacterium
Lineage: Bacteria
Description: partial 16S ribosomal RNA
Rfam family: Bacterial small subunit ribosomal RNA
Source: RNAcentral
AUGAACGCUGGCGGCGUGCCUAAUACAUGCAAGUAGAACGCUGAAGGAGGAGCUUGCUCUUUCCGGAUGAGUUGCGAACGGGUGAGUAACGCGUAGGUAACCUGCCUGGUAGCGGGGGAUAACUAUUGGAAACGAUAGCUAAUACCGCAUAACAGUAGAUAUUGCAUGAUAUUUGCUUGAAAGGGGCAAUUGCUCCACUACCAGAUGGACCUGCGUUGUAUUAGCUAGUUGGUGAGGUAACGGCUCACCAAGGCGACGAUACAUAGCCGACCUGAGAGGGUGAUCGGCCACACUGGGACUGAGACACGGCCCAGACUCCUACGGGAGGCAGCAGUAGGGAAUCUUCGGCAAUGGACGGAAGUCUGACCGAGCAACGCCGCGUGAGUGAAGAAGGUUUUCGGAUCGUAAAGCUCUGUUGUAAGAGAAGAACGAGUGUGAGAGUGGAAAGUUCACACUGUGACGGUAUCUUACCAGAAAGGGACGGCUAACUACGUG